AUUGAACGCUGGCGGCAUGCUUUACACAUGCAAGUCGAACGGUAACAGGCCGCAAGGUGCUGACGAGUGGCGAACGGGUGAGUAAUGCAUCGGAACGUGCCCAGUCGUGGGGGAUAACGCAGCGAAAGCUGUGCUAAUACCGCAUACGAUCUGUGGAUGAAAGCGGGGGACCUUCGGGCCUCGCGCGAUUGGAGCGGCCGAUGUCAGAUUAGGUAGUUGGUGGGGUAAAGGCUCACCAAGCCAACGAUCUGUAGCUGGUCUGAGAGGACGACCAGCAACACGGGGAAUGAGACACGGCCCAGACUCCUACGGGAGGCAGCAGUGGGGAAUUUUGGACGAUGGGCGCAAGCCUGAUCCAGCAAUGCCGCGUGCAGGAAGAAGGCCUUCGGGUUGUAAACUGCUUUUGUACGGAGCGAAAAGGCUCUCUCUAAUACAGGGGGCUCAUGACGGUACCGUAAGAAUAAGCACCGGCUAACUACGUGCCAGCCGCCGCGGUAA
RNAcentral lists this ribosomal RNA (498 nucleotides) under uncultured bacterium. RNAcentral's name for it is "partial 16S ribosomal RNA". It matches the Rfam family "Bacterial small subunit ribosomal RNA", at positions 29 to 523 of the family's 1533-position model. The record is from RNAcentral.